GAAGCCUCUUGCGGUGUGGCCCACUCCAGAGGGCACCCCUGGGUUUGAGCCUUCAGGUCCUGGGUCCCAGCCUCCCUGCCAGAAGCUGCUGAGAUCGGUCUAGUGGGGAGGCUGCCUGGAUGUCCUGUCCUGGAGGACCUGUGUGCGCCUGGCCCCUCAGAGUUCCAGCCCAUUCCUGCCUGUUUCCCGUUUUCCCCCAGCCCUGGAACCUCACUUCUUUCCAGAGAAAGCGAAUUGGGCAUCAGAUCAGCUCUGCUCAGAGCCUCGGAGAGCACAGCUGAGGAGACAGUGGCAGGCAGGAAGGCUGCUAUGGUGGUGCAGGCCGGGCCUUCCGAAGGACAGAGACACGGGGAGACAAGGCGGGCUCUGGAUUCCCAUCCCCAGGCUGCUCAUACAGAGGGAGAUGCCCCAGAAACCCUCAUCUAGCAGAAGCUGUGAUCUGUCAGCUCCUCCCAGUGAACACCGGAAGCCACAGCACAGCAGCAGCAGCAGCAGCAGCAGCAGCAGCAGCGUGGUCACCUGAAUCCAGCUGCCCUGGUUGUGGCUCAUGGGCUGUGUUACCUGGGGUUUCAGGGCUACUGGACCCACUCAGCCUGCGGAGUUGUAAGUGGAAGAGACUGGAGUGGGCCAGAAUCCUGGAACUCCAGAAUCACAGAAUCAUCAUCUGUAGAUGCACAGACCCAAGAAAUGCAGCAUUAAGGAAGCUCUGGAAAAGACUUGGACCCUCCCUCAUGGCUUGUUGGAUUACCAGAGUCCUAGACUCAGCCCCAGGAAACAUGGAAUAGAAUUGGGUGGACACCCCAGAAUCAGCAUCUAAGCCCGGGAAGGGCUUAGUCAACUCCCACGGGGAGGUCCUCACCGAAUAGGAUCACCUAUUACACUGCUGCUGCUGAGGCGGAGGCUAAAUUUGCUCUGUGCUAUUGCCCACCCCUCUGUCCUGGCCCCUUCAGUCACUGAAACAAGCAAGAGAAAAGCCCGGUCUGCUCUUAUCUUAGAGAAGGGACCGCGCAGGGACAGACAGGAAACACCUUAGGAGAAACGUGCGCAGUCAUGAAACCAAGGAGUGAUGCUUUCUCAGCAGGAGAGA
Molecule: long non-coding RNA, 1087 nt
Filed under: Fukomys damarensis (Damara mole-rat)
Lineage: Eukaryota; Metazoa; Chordata; Mammalia; Rodentia; Bathyergidae
Description: lncRNA (ENSFDAG00000024136.1)
Source: RNAcentral